RNAcentral lists this microRNA precursor (72 nucleotides) under Paramuricea clavata. Lineage: Eukaryota; Metazoa; Cnidaria; Anthozoa; Malacalcyonacea; Plexauridae. The record is from RNAcentral.
GUUCAACCCUGGGGUUGAAAUUUCAACCCCGCUCGCUGAAGCAGGGUUGAAAUUUCAACCCCGGGGUUGAAC